UGAAAGCCUCGCUUACUUUUUAGAGAAGUAUAUCCAAUAAUAUCAUGAAUUAUGAAAUGCCCAAAUCAUAUUUGAAUUUCCAGUUACUUAUAAAGUAGUCAAAAGCACUCCAUGGCAAGUCAUUUUUAUAUAUGAAGCUUUUAAAAAAGAUCCCGUUAUUUUGACACCCUAUAUUUGACACUCAUUUGACACUGUCACGUGUCUACGUGCUAUUGGGUAUUUUGAUUUUUUUUUUUUUUCAAAAAUUUGGCCUGAAAAAUGUAGAGGUUUUCAGAGAAUUUGGAUUCCUAUUCUACCCCACGGCAUUUUCAGUGUGACAGAUUACUUCUCUCUCACAUUUGGUCGUCUCCCAUCAUGGUCUCCCGUACUCGCUUACACUUUCGUCGUCUCCAGUGCUCUCCAGUGCUCUGAAAUGGCAAGUUCCGGAUUGGACCUUCGUUGGACCAAGUUGAGCGUGCGUCAUUCAUUUUCAACUAUGUAUACUAGCACUCUCAACGAACGGUUGACAGAGGAGCAAAGGGAAGUCAUCUCCAAGACUCCAUGUUUUUUUUGUUUUUAGAGUUCAGUGGUAAAUUCAUAUUCAAUACUAAACUUUUGCGUGAGUUAACCAAGACAUGGGUGGAUUCGACCAACUCUUUUAUUAUUGCAGAGAAGCAUUUCAAUAUCAAUGAAAAUGAUUUUUGUUCAGGAAUAGGAUUGAGUUUAGAUGGUGACAAUAUAAACUUGAAGCAUUCUUCAGUGGGUAAUAGUAAAUGUGUGAAUGUCUUAGAGGCAGAGUUGGAGGCAGAGAAGGGCAGAACAACACCUAAAAGGUCAACUGCAGAUGAUGGUGUCCAAAGUGCAGGAUGUCCACCACCAUUUAGUGAUGAUGCAUUUGUUUCACUUGUUGGAGUGUCGACCGAGGAAGUGGGUGGAAUGUGCAAGAAUGAAGAACGUGCAAUGUCCGCAAAUGCACCGGGUGGAAUGUCCAACAACCAAUCAGAGCUGAAGCAUUAUGUUAGGAUUGGUUCAAGAAGGCGAUUUAAGAGCCAAGCACUUAGGACACCAUACACAAGAAAUGUAGUAGUUAGGAAGACAAAUGAGUAACUAUUGUACUAGACUUCAGUGUUAGGACAAGAAAAAGAUCGUGUAAUUAUAAUAUUUGGUUCAAUAUAUAGAACAAUAAUCUUUGUUUCA
This is a long non-coding RNA of Vigna radiata var. radiata (mung bean), 1176 nucleotides long. RefSeq lists it as uncharacterized. NCBI's taxonomy places the organism in Eukaryota, Viridiplantae, Streptophyta, Magnoliopsida, Fabales, Fabaceae. The record is from RefSeq and is a predicted model, not a curated record. The transcript is spliced from 2 exons.